GGGGCCCGCACAAGCAGCGGAGCGUGUGGUUUAAUUCGAUGCAACACGAAGAACCUUACCAAGACUUGACAUGUUGGAAGUAGUGAACCGAAAGGGGAACGACCUGUUAAAUCAGGAGCCUUCACAGGUGCUGCAUGGCUGUCGUCAGCUCGUGCCGUGAGGUGUUGGGUUAAGUCCCGUAACGAGCGCAACCCUUAUUGCCAGUUAAUUUCUCUGGCGAGACGCCCUGCAAAACGGGGAGGAAGGUAGGGAUGACGUCAAGUCAGCACGGCCCUUAUGUCUUGGGCUACACACACGCUACAAUGGAUGGUACAAUUGGUUGCAAUGGGGCGACCCGGAGCCAAUCCGUAAAACCAUUCUCAGUUCGGAUUGCAGGCUGAAACCUGCCUGCAUGAAGCUGGAGUUGCUAGUAACCGCAAGUCAGCAAAUUGCGGUGAAUACGUUCUCGGGCCUU
This 454-nucleotide ribosomal RNA is filed under the name uncultured Chloroflexota bacterium. Its description in RNAcentral is "bacterial SSU rRNA". It matches the Rfam family "Bacterial small subunit ribosomal RNA", at positions 916 to 1382 of the family's 1533-position model. Lineage: Bacteria; Bacillati; Chloroflexota. The record is from RNAcentral.